UGUCUUGUGAUCAUGGAGAUACUUGGCGCCUUCGAGGGCAGGCAGAGCCUACCAGAUGAUUUGGAUGGCGAUUCGAUAU
Molecule: ribosomal RNA, 79 nt
Filed under: Trypanosoma cruzi
Lineage: Eukaryota; Euglenozoa; Kinetoplastea; Trypanosomatida; Trypanosomatidae
Description: Large subunit ribosomal RNA, LSU-srRNA3
Source: RNAcentral